ACAUGUAGAGUCAUCUGAAAGGAGAGCCUCACUUGAAGAAUCUCCUAGAUCAGAUUGGCCUGUGGUCAUGUUGGUGGAGAAUUGUAUUGAUUUUGAAUUGGUGUAGGAGGGUCCAGCCUACUGCAGGAGCUACAAUCCCUAGGCUCAUAAACCUGUCCUGUAUAAGAAAGCCAAUUGAGCAUAAGCCCACCUAGCAGCCAGCAAUCAACAUUCUCCAUGGUUCCUGCUGCUGUACCUUCUCUGGCUGUGAAAUGAGCUCCUUGGUUGGAGACAUUCUGAGCUUCUGAGCAGCACAGGAUACUCCACCUUCCUCUAGAGCAUCAUUUCUGAAUUGUUGCUAAGUCCACAAAGGAUGUACUGACAGCUGGCCUUCCCUGCCAUUCUUAGAAGUGGUUUUGCAAGCAGUAGUUAUUUUUUAAAGUGUUACAGGAUGUUCAACGGAGGUACUGGUUUUGAAAGUUUAUUCCUAAAUGCAAACCUGGACUCGACAGCAGACUUUGUUCUUGGUAUAUCCCAAUUCCCACUAGAGUGAAAAAGAAGUAUCAGGACUUCCCUUUUAUGGAACCCUUUGCCAAGUCUCUAACAGUGUCUAGGUGGGCAGAAUGCAGAUACAAUGAUGGGGUCUAUUGGGAAAUGGGCAAAUGAACUCAACAGACAGUUCUCAAAGCAAGUGCAAGCAAGCACAAAUAGAUACACAAAAAGAUGUUCACGGCAUCCUCAGCCAUCAUGGAAGUGCAAUGGAAAACUAUGCUGAGAUCCCAUCUCAUACUAAUUAGGAAAUUAAAACAAAUGCUGGCAAUGAUGCUGGGGAACAAGAAGCCUACACUAUUGGGAGGGACAUAAGCAAAAGUAGACACUAUAGAAAUCAGCAUGAAGCUUCCACAGCACAAUCACAAAGAGAACUACCAGCUGAUUAGACUAUUCCACCUAUGUGGAUAUCCAAGUCAGCAUACUAUAGAGAUGUUUGCACAUUAAUGCUUGCUAUGGCACCAUUGUAAUAGCAAAAAACAAAAACAAAAACAAAAACAAAAAUAAAAACAAAAACAAAAAAAACAGUAUGAAUGAAUUUCAACAAGUGACCAGAUUUUUUAAAAAUGUUAGGUAUAUGUAUAUAUGUAUACAAACAUGUAUGCACACACAAUUGACCAUAAAUAAUGGAAUUAUGUUAUUUUCAGGAAUAUGAUAGAACUGGAAUCACUACAUUAAAUGAAAUUAAACAGAUGCCGAAAGACAAGAACUGCAUAUUUUCUCUCAUACUCUAAUAUAAUUUGUAUAUUAAAAACAAAUGAAAACAGAAGGUGAAUAAUUUGGAAAUAAGGGGGAUAUCAGGAUGGAGAGGGUACAAGAGGGGAGAACGGAGGGUGACUAUGAUCAAAGAACAUUAUAUACAUUUAUGAACACAUCAUAAUGAAACCUAGUUUUAAACAGUUACUUAUGCAUCAAUUGUAUACUUCAAGAAGAAACAAGUCCUUGCCAUUAUAUCUUUACCAAAAUACAGAAGACUCACUGAUAAACCAGAAAAUAUAUUUUUGUGAAGCAAGAGAACAUCAUAGCACACAAUGGUAAUGAUCAUUAUCAUUGUUGGUCUUGUUUAGACUUUCAUUUUUUUAAUUUUAUGCUUGUGAUUAAUCAAAAGUAAAAAAAAAAUCUCUUAAAAUAGACACUUGUGUGGUUCACCCAUUUUUCUUGAACCUCUUCCUCUGUUGAAUCCUUCCUGCAGUUCUCUGAAGCCAGAGAGCUUUGCUGUUAUUUUCCUUUCUGGGUUUCUGACAUGAAAGCCAUCUCCACCCUGCCAGGUGGCCUCCCCCAAUGCCUGGAGCAGCUGGAACAGGCUCCAUCAGAGCAGCGCCUGUCCCUUCCUCAACUCCCAGGAGAGAAACAGAAAUGAGGACACAGCUUUGGAAUAACAGGACAAAUGAAAAUGACAAAUCUCUUCCAUCUGAAGGGCAUUUCCAACUCUCCAAAAAAUUUUCACCUCCUGUUAUUUUAAUUGCUUACCCCUCACACUCUCCCAAUUCUUUCUUAGCCUUGAACUUUCCACUCUCAGUGCUGCUGUGCAAGGUUCCCCCAGCAUGUCCUCCUUUUAUACCUAUGGGCUCUAAAAAGAAUGGAUGCUGGUGCUUGGGAGCCUCCAUCAUCCCUUUACCAACAAAUCCCCUGAGUCCUACUUGCCUGUGCAUCUUCCAGAAACUAACCCCUUGAUCACAGGUAAAAGGUAUUGCAGAGGCAAGCAACCAUGGAAUGAAAUCAUGAGCCUAAAUAAAACAAAUAUACUCCUAAAAAAAAUAAAAAUCUCUCUCAUGUAUUUGCCAUGGUGACAAAAUCCUGACUAAUAAAAGUAUCCUGCUAAGGAGAACUCACUGGUUGGUAGAACAGCCUAGUUGACCUUGCAGAGAAGAGAAUCACCAGGAAAAGGUACCAUGAUUGAUCUUUUGAUGUCUGAUGCCACUCACUGCUCUUGGGAGAAGGGCAAGUGCAUAGCACAGAUCUGUAGGGUGCCAUCCCUUACUGGAUCUCCCCACUUACUUUCCAGGUCUUGUACUGAUGAUAUCUUUGUAACUUGGUACCUUGUCACAGAGGUGGGGUACUUCUAUAUUAUAGAGUUAGAAAAUAACUUACUUCAUGUAGGCACGUGGGUGUAAAUGACACAGCCCUGCCUCGUUCUACUGGAAGAUUACAGGGCUGACCUGACCAUUGAGGUCACAGAGAAGGCUGUGACAAUGGCUUAAUCCUCAGCCUCUCAUGUACAUAACUUUCCUCCUUGUUUCGUUCCUCCCCUUUUCUUGCUAUACUCCUGUACUCUAGGUCUACCCACCCCACUUCUCUUUAUUGCAAUGUUUUCAUCCCUUGGUAGAUGAAAAAAAAUGUCUUGCUUGGUCAAAAUCUCUACAAGGUUCUCUUACCUAAAUACUAACCAGGCACAACCCUGUUUAGCUUCAGAGAUCAGAUGUAUUCAGGGUAGUCUGGCUGCAGAUAGAGCUGGCAUGGUUCUUAAUAAGCAUUUGUGCAUUGAGCUGAACUGACUCUCCAGAUGAAGACAGAAAAGUCAAUUAUUUUAGCUUUGCAUAGAUAUUAAAGGAAGGGAGAGGCAGAAGAGCUAUAAAAUCCAACUCCAAGUUCUUCAAUUCUAAAUCAACUUCGCUAAUCCUCUGUAAGUUCACAAUUGCUCUCACAUACAAGUAUAAGAAUACUUAUGAAAUAUUUCUAAGAAGAAAUCUUCCAGAUGGGCUAUGAUAUGAUACCAGCAGUCAAGUUUUCUCUAUGCCCCUUUCUUCUUCUUUCCCUCUUUUUUUUUAUCUCCACUCCCUACUCCCACCCCAAACAUUUAAGAAUACUAGGCAUUCUGCUAAAAUAAUGAGACCUUUGGGUGCAGCACUCAACUGUUCUAAAAGUUAGGUAAGCCUCUUAGACUGAAUUCUAAGGACUUUCCAAAGCAAUCAAAUAAAGGGAGGGUAGACACAAGAUUUUAGCAGAUUCCACGAAGCAAUUCAAGAUCAGAUUUUUCAGAAGUUCCAUUUUGAAAUCCAUUUGCUGACAGAGUCUUUAUUAAUAUAAUCCUUCAGCACAGGAAAUCAUUCACUGAACAAACCUGAAUGUAUUUCCAAAUCCAUAUGCUAAAAGCACUUCAUUAUUCUACCCAAAGUUGCCUGUACAAAAAACCCUUAAACUACACCUUCAUGUUAUCCUAGCCAGUAUGAACAUCUCUGUUAGCCUAGGAGCGAUGUCUUCAGAUAGGCAGAAAUUUUAAUUGAAUAGACAUAAAAGUACAAUUCUUCAAAACUUCCUGCUUUGUCUUUCUUUGUCUUAAACUGAUUAGAAACCAUGCUAUUGAUAAUCACACUGUGAAUCAGGUGAUUUGUGUCGGGGGUGGUGGUUAAUAGAGAUGCAGAGCAGACAGCGACCAUGAGGCAGACACGGUUCUGCUGCCGUGAGAUCACUUCCAAGCUGCUUCUCUGGCUUUUUAGCUUUUUGGCAAUUUGUCUAUUUCUCCAUUCUGUACCUUAAAAUGAAAAGGUACCAGUAGCUGGUAGGAUGACGCUCAACAAUGCUUUGUUUUCUGAAACAUAGAACUUUUGCUCUUAGCUGUUAAGUUCUAAUCUACAGAGGCAAUGAACACACAGAGAGAGCUGAGAUUGAGUGGAGGGGGCAUAGGUGUCUGGAUGUCUGGUUUUCCUGGAGAACUGUUAGGAGAAAAUUGGGAAGGGUGGGUUCCAAGGCCUCAGUUCAGUCACACGAAUUGAAUGAAGGAAACUUUUUUUUUUUUUUACCAUAGCUGAAAUGUAUGGAGGAUGCCAGAGACUCUGUGACCAGGGACCAUGAAGAAACACACUGGAUCUUGUAAUCAAGACUACAAACACAUUGAAGUUAAUGACAUAUGCAAAAUUGAUGCCCAACAUUUAGCUAGAAGCUAUGCUAUGUGCAGGGGACUCUUGGUCAUCCUAUGUGUACCAACUAGUGGUGCCUGGGGAAGGCUGAGAAGGCUGUCCUUACUAUCUGUCUGUUCGACAUACUCUAAGUAAAUUUUAUGGGAGGAGAAGAAAGUUCUUUCUUAGUUUUAUCUUCAUUCAUAUAUAUAUAUUAGUGUUUUGCCUGUCUGUUGGUCUGUCUGUCUGUCUAUGCCACAUGUGUGCAUGUUCCCCUCAUAAGCCAGAGGAGGGCAUCAAAUCCCAUGGAGCUGGAUUCAUAGGUGGUUUUAAGUCACCCUGUAGGUUCUGGGAACCAAACUCUGGUCUUCUUCUAGAACAGUAUGCAUUUUUAACCACUAGGCCAUCUCUCUAGCCUCAAGAUUAGAGCUCUAAAAAAAUAAAAGUAAAAAUAAAACUGUUUCAUCACUGAUGGGCUUAGGAGAAACAAAGACCACUGUUUUUCCAUGUCAGGUGAAGAAGCCACUCACCUGAGAAGAGCCUAUCUCCUGUGCAUGUGCCCUUCCCUUCUUCAACCAUGCCAAGGCUCUGGUGAACAGUGGUAUGCACAGAAGGAGAUGAGCUCAAAAAAGCAAUAGACUACCCCUGACUGGCCACCAGCAGCAGCCACACUGGAUCAUACUGAAGUCUGCAUGGAACUUGAAUGAAAUCGAUGUUUGAAACAUCAAUAAGAGGCUGUAAUUUCCAAAUGUAUACAGGAACAGAAAGAACUGCUAUAAAAUGACUACACCCCUAAGGCCACAGGUACCUUGUCUCUUGGUAAUACGCAAAGCUGUAUUCACCAAGUACUCAACACUCAGUAACUCCCUAAUCAUUUUCCCACUUACAUAUGGGACCAUGACAACUAGAUAAAGCAGACUUUAAAAAUUAUGUUUUUAUCCACAGUCCUGUCAUAAGAACUUAAGGAUUUCCAAAACUAGUCUUUAAGCUUGUCUAGCCCAACAGUCAAUAUGAGUAUGAGCUCACAAAACUGAACUACAGAAGAGGUCACAGCUUACUGUGUUAAUCGAUGCAGUCUCAGCUUCCAGGGCAUACCUAGCAUGUGCUCGUGUUGGCAGAAAUACCUGAUGAAUUCUGAAUUGAGAUUUGGAGUUUUUCUUCUGCAAUAAUGUGACAUGGUACUGGUUUGCUUUGCUUUAGGCUAGAUACACAAUCUUGGCCAUUUCCCAUAGGUGCAUUGCACUUCAGGUUUCUCACAUGUGAAGCAAGCAUUGUCUCCAGCAGCGUUUUCUACCUAACUUGACAUUCAGACCAAAGUUUGCUGGGGACUCUUCCCUGAAGAGAUACAUAGGAAAGUUGAACAUAUUAGCCUUUAUCCACUGGGCUGUGGCAGUCUAAUAAGACUGAUUUGAGUGUGAAAUUCUACUGCUAACAAUAGAUUGGAAACAUUACUGAGGUCUCUUAUUCCUAUAGGCUCUAUAUUUAGAUGUUCAUAUGUCCCUCCUUUCUCUCUGUUUAUCUGUCUUCCUCUGUAUUUAUCUCUCUUUCUCUGUCUGUCUUUGUCUCUCUCUGGAUAGCUUGACCCAGGGGGUCUCCAUCUUUUUUAAUUUGGGGGUUACACUGACGCCUCCACUCGGCAUGUCUUUUGGUCCUGGGGAUCCAACAAACUCUUGUCUUUAUGCUUGCAAUGGUAAGGGCUUUUCCCACAGCCUUACACUGUUAGUCUUAUAGCUCCAAAAAUAAAACAAUAUCUUUGCUUCCCCAGGGCCAGAAUACAUGCUGUUCCCUUGAUCUAGAAUGUUCUUUCCUGCCCACUCACUGCUGCAUCUCUGCCAGCCUAAUUUUUUCUCAAAGUUAUUUCCUAGGGAAGACCACCUGCCACCUUCAGGUGAGUCUGAGCCCUGGUACUGGUUCUCACAGUACUCUGCCCUUUUAAUGAUGGUAACUUGCCUGAUCAUAAUUAAGUAAAUCAAUGUAAUUAAUGGUCUGACGUCUGUUCUUCUUGCUAAAUUACCAUCUCCUCAUCUUCCCGAGAAUGAAGAGGCGGUCUGUGUCCUCAAAAUUGAACUCAUGCUUUAAUGAUUAUUUCCUGAAGAAAUAAAUGAAUGAAUGACAAAGUAUCAGAUACUAAGGAGGCUGAGUAGAAGGAUCACAAGUUAAAAUUUGCCUGGACUACAGAGUGGGUUUCAGGCCAAAGUUGGCUACUUAAUGAGAGCUCUACUUCAAAAUGAAAAGUCAAAGACAAAACAAAAGGUCAGAGAUAUAGCUCAACAGUGGAACAUGGGUAAAUAGUAGCACAUGUAUGACCCCAGGAGCUCAUCGCCAGUCUCUCUCACACACACACACACACAGAGAGAGAGAGAGAGAGAGAGAGAGAGAGAGAGAGAGAGAGAGAGAGAGAGAGAGAGAGAGAGAAGGAAGAGAAGAGAAGAGAAGAGAAGAGAAGAGAAGAGAAGAGAAGAGAAGAGAAGAGAAGAGAAGAGGAAGAGAAGAGAAGAGGAAGAGAAGAGAUUGAGAAAGGGUCAUAAAAGACAUUACAUAAUACUUGUACAAGAUUACUAUGAGAAUUCCAUCCUUAUGAUGUUGGACAAACCUAGGGCUUCUAGUGACUCAUUUGUCUUAGAAAAGGAGAAAAAAAAAACACCACUGGUUGCUGGUUGUUUAACAGAGAUCACUGUCUGUCCUAUAUGAUAUCUCAAAAUGAUACCCCAAGUGGUCCCUCUGAAGCAUCUCAAAUGAUCCUGGAAUAGAUUCUGGGGUAUAAAACUUGAGAGUCUUCAAGCACAUGAGUUACAUGCAUUUACAGUGACCAAAAUUAAAUAAAAUGAAAACUCAGCUCACUCACACUAGCCCUUCCCUUAGCUCUUAAGAGUCACCUGGUUGUAGCUGUGAGCACACUGCCCACAGUGACUCGAUCAUGUCUACCAGUACACUGGCCCCGUGUUCUGGGUGCUCCUCAGCUCUGCACAUUCCAGACUUUGGGCUGUCCACAUUGCCUCCUAUUUGGUUUUUUCUUCCUUCUAACACAAUACCUGUAACUUUUUUUACAUCCACAUACUCACCAUUUAUCUUUUCUAAAAAAGUAGAAGCAAGAAAGAUUUUUAAGUUGUCCAUUAGUCAAUUAAACAAAGUUCUCUGGUCUUUCCUUCUGCCAGCAGAUUUAAAUACCCUACCUUCAUCGCCAUUUUCAUGUUCUUUUCUGACAGCAGCCUGCAUUGAAGGCUGGUUUCCUCGCUACUGUCUUUCUGUCACUGGGCUGUCUCAUAUGCCUUCUCUUAGAGGAUGCAGUCUUGUUUUUGAGGUGUCUUGACUAUGUGGAGUCAUAUUUGGUGGCUUCUUGGUGUUCCUAUCCUUCUGAGACCAUGUUUGGUUACCUUUUUGAGAUGGGAUCACAUGUAGCCUGGGUCAACCUUGAACUUCUCAUCCUUUUGCCUCCACCUCCUGAGUGCUGGGAUAACAGGUAGGCAUUUAUCAUGCCUAGUGUUAUGCAGUGCUGGAGAUCACCCUAAGGUUUCCUGCACGAUGGAAUCACAGUACCAGCUAAGCUCAGGGCCCUGGUGAGGUUCUUUUGGAAGCCAAGGUUUGGGUGGUUGAACUACUGCUGUACUAUGUGCAUUCAUCUCUCACAGUCACACAAUGAUGCGGAAUGGCUAGAGAGAGAAAACCUAGCAAAUCCGCUUUCCUGGACUGUGUCUUCUUCAUUUGCUGGCUUAUUCUGUCUGUGAUCAUCGUGGAUUUGAUUAUUUUGUGAUCAUUUCUUUCAAGGCUUCUCUCUAAUCUUUAGAUUAGAGCUUUAGAGCAGUAAUUCUUUCUUUUCUCUUUCAUAAUAUUACAUUAAAAAUGGAUUUCUGCCUUACCUAAGGGUUGUAACUUGUCCUCAUGUAGCCUCUGUCUUAGCUUUAGUUCUCCAAGGAAACACCAAGACAAAGAUUUAUAGGCAAACAGUACCCUACGGGAGUAAAGAGGAAGGAAUACCACCAGGAACCAGGAGAACAAGAAAGUAAAAUGAGGGCAAUCGAUGAAAGAUGUGUCAGGAAACCAGCUCCCACAAGCAGGGCCAAACUCAGUAUACAAAGCACAUCACUCAGAGGAAGGGAGCUGGGGUAUGUAUCAACCCUCACGGGCAGCCAAGGGGGGCGAUUCCUGGACCCAGUGGUAUUUUUCCACACCCCACUGGACAGGCAUAGAAUGUUAGUCACAAAAAUCUAUCAAAGGAGGGCAACCCUGUAUGCAUGGAAAAAUAGAAAAAUGGACCCUAUAGAUAUGUGAAAUUAAUACAUGUGAAUGAAAAGAAAUGCAAGUGCUAUGAGCCAGGGCAUGUGGAUGGAGAUUCCCUGAAGUGCUAAGGGUAAGAGGUUCUGUCUGCUGCCUCGACUAUACUAUGACACCCUCAACCAGGUUCCUCAUCCAUCUGUGUUGGGAAUGCUUAGGGAAACACACUUAAGCUUUCCAUUGCCUAACGAAGGGACAAAGGUAGAUGAUAUACAAGGUUCCGAAGAUUCUGUAACUUCUCUUUGGAUUACUUUCCAUCAGGUAUUCAAGUGCAUACCCUGCACUCUCUCUCACCGGGCAGUAAGCCAUCAGAUCUAACAAGCUUCUUGACCUAUAACUCAUUUGCGUGUCUGGCUUCCCCUGCCACUUCAGAAGAAUUUGAGUGCAGUCUGUUUUCACUAUGGAGAAUACUUUGAGAGGUGACAGAAAGUAAAGCCAUCUGUGGUACCUCUCUGGACCUGAGGAAACUGUGUGACUAUCUCCAGAAAAGGCAGCUAAGGUGAUUUUCUCUUUUGGACCUCAGACCUGAAUGAAGGACAUUUACUAUAUGACAGGAAUGUUAAGCACUCGACAUCCACCAACUUUCAAACCCUCACACCAGUCCCUAUGAAAUAGGCCUGAGAGUUGAAAAACUAAGUCAGAGGUUUAAAUUUUUGCCUGAUCCCCAGCUGUCAGCCAAUAUUAACAAACUAUACAUAAACAAUAUAUAGUCAUCUUAAUAGGCUAAUAAAAAUACCUGAUGAAAUCAAUACUUAUUUUUAAUAAAAAUUCUCAAUAAUCUAGGAACAAAGGGGAACUCUCUCACUUGAUAAAUAAGGACUUAAAAAUUCCUACAGCAUGUAUUUUAUUUAAGAGCUAGAGGUAGUAUCCAUUUCUCAAAACAAUAGGCAAGACAAGGCUAUCUAGUCUUUCUACUUCUGCAAAAAAUUAUACUAUCAAAAAAUUAUGCAAUUUCUAGUUAGCGUAAUAAAGCAAGAAAAAUAAAUAAAAUUAGAAUAUGUGUUAUAGAUACAUAUAUAUGUAGUAUAGAAAAUAGGAUAAUAAAUAAAAAUUAGAAUGACAAAGUAGAAAAAUCUCAUUAUUUACAGACAUUGUAGCCCUUUGUACAGAAAACUUAAUGCAGUGAAUGUAAAUCUAUUGGAAGUAACACAUGAGUUUCAUGAGCUUACAGAAUACAAAGUAGAUAUAUAAAAUCUAUUGUGCCUUAAAUGCUAUCAGCAACCGAAACUUAAAAUGAAAAUGUCAAAACUAAAAGAAAAAGGUUUAAGAGCCCAUAUGUUUUAGCACUAAAACUAUAAAUAAAGGAUGAUGCUGAUAAAAUGGUAUACAAAAAUCUGCACACUGGAAAUGAUAAAAGAUUGUUUGGAGAUGCUAACUACCUAAACAACUAAAGAUCUGUGUCAUACUUAAGUGUCAGAAGGCUCAAAAUUAGGGUGCUUUCAGUUCUCUCUAACUUGAUUUAUAAAAUUAAAAAGAAGAAAAGAACCUGUUCCUUUCAGUUAAAUUAAAUGAUGAGACAAACCAACAAGUUUUAUAAAUUUCAUCAUAAGCCAAAAAAAAAAAAAAAAAAAAAAAGGAUUAUCAGAAGAGGGAAGAGAAGGCUGCAAACAUCAAAGGAAGUAAAACAUAAAGGUUUGAGAGAAAGACAAGACAGAAGAAUCACACAACACCUAGAAUCUAAUAAAACAGUGUGAAAGGUGUUAAUCAACACCCGCCUCUGCACACACAGUUGGCGCUCUUCCUUGCUCCGUGAGAGAGAACAACCAUGGUGCUUACUUCCUGUUAGCUUUCUUUCUGGGAUCUCACUUCCUGUUGCUGCCUCACAUCCUCAGGAAGCAAAGCUACGUGUAACAUUCCUAUUCCUGUAGGCGCUCACAUGACAUCAAGCCUUGUAACAUUCCUAUUCCUGUAGGCGCUCACAUGACAUCAAGCCUUGUAACAUUCCUAUUCCUGUAGGCGCUCACGUGACAUCAAGCCUUACCAGCCCUUUGAAAAUCACAAUGAUGGUUCCAAAGCAGGUUAUUUCCUGGAAGCUUCCAACUUAUAUAACAGAUGAAAGGGUCUGGCUAUUUUUGCCAGCUUUUAACUUUACAACCUUUAACUUGCCUCCUUUAUCGUUUUAAUUCCCACUGUAAAGAAAAGGCACAUCGUUUCCCUUUAUAACUAUGUGCGAUUUGAGAAAGGCUAACAUUUUUAAGGUAAAAAGAAGCAAGACAUAGAGGGAAAGAAGCUUGUGAAAACAACCAAGGCUUACCUAAUAAAUUGUUUGUAGGAUUUUAUUUUCCUCAAAGUUUGUAAACCCUGCAAACCCUGGUCUUGUUUGAUUUCCAACUGCUGUGGUUUCCAAUUAGCCUCUUUCCUUGAUCAGAAGGUGGGCUUUCAUAUGCCUUCUCAGAGGUUAUCUUAGACUGUUGGCAAGACUCUAACUGGCUAUGAUGAAAACAAAUCUUAUUUUGAAUGAAUAAAAGCAUAUGGCUCGUAGGAGUUGUUUUGAUUGUGAGAGAGAAAAAGGGAAUGUGGAGCUUAAAGGUUCCAAAUCUAUAAAUUAAAAUAGGCCAGUUGUGGGAGGAGGGAAAAUCUGAGAGGUACACCUAAACUGUGCUUAAUUUAAGACCUAAAUAAUUGAUUGUACAGGUUGGGUUGAAAUGUAUAGAAAGAUGCAUUUACUAGCAUGUCUUACACAUGGGUAUAUGUUUAUAUGAGUUUGUAAUGUCUAGCAUGUAGUCAUAUUAAUGGACAUUUUCUCAUUUAUUCUUCAGUCCAAUAUCUUCUAUAUUCUGUCCUACCUGUCUUAUAUGCUUAGCCAGGUAUACAUAUUCUAUAGAGGUUUUCAGUUCUAUUGACCAGCAAGAAAAUGCAAAAGAAAACCCAUCUGCUGUCAAAGUUGGCAAGUAGACAGCUAAGCGCCUGCAUGCGUGCCUUCAACAAGUUCCUCACUAACAACAGUCCCAAUGAUUUAUCAUGUCUGCAUGGUAGACACUAUAAAGGAUUCUGUCAAACUAAAGUAUCCAUUAAGAUUAUAGUCCAUCAGCUUAACCUCUCCUACGAGGCAGGGGAGUAAUUAGAUCUGUGCUAUGAGCAAAAGCUGAGCAGAAGAUCCUUACUGUGAUCAUGUUUCAGGCCAACUAAAGUUAUGGACAAUGACAGGCUCUUCUGACUGUCUUGGAGCAUAUGUAGCAUGUAGCGCUCACAGUGUGGGCAUUACCAUUGCAACACGUGGCAUUCACGAUGCUGGCAGUCCGUAUUGAGAGGGUUGUAUGUGCAAAACACACACUGGAAUUUGAACCCCAGAGAUUGAAAGAGAACUAAAAAAAAGGUCAUUAACAAAUUUUAUACUACUUUCAUGUUACAAUAAAGUAAUUUAAACAAGGGGUAAAAUAAAAUAUUCUGUUCAGAUCAGUUCCAUCUCUUGCUUUUUAUUUUAUUUAAGGUAGCUACUAGGAAAUGCAAAAGUACAUUGCAUGUCUUGUAUUCUAUCUGCUAGACAGCACUGUUCUGAAUGGUAGGGAUGGAUAGCUCCUAUGACCUCACUACUUAGUCUAUUUUAAAAGCAACACAAAGAGCAUAUUAUUCCCCUAAGAGUCACAUGUGUUCACAUGUGUAAGAAGUCUAAUCCCCAAGGAGCCAAGCAAGCUAUUCUGGAUUUCUCUUUUCAGAGCUAAAAACAGUUAUCUUCAUGGCUCACUGUACAACUUCUUCAGUGACUACCAAUUGCCAAUGAUCACUAAGGCUGCUGUUACUGAAAUAUCAUCAUCACCAUCAUCCUUUAAAAACAGCAAAUCAUUUUGUGGGUUAGGAGUGGGAACAUUUUGGGGGUAAUAGCUAGAUCCCGAAUUGUUACCCCAGACUCUAAGCUCAUGCCUUGUCAUCCCAUUGCAACUCCCAAUGCUUCAAACACAUUGAUUUUUUUUAAACGUUCCCAAAAUAUAUUGUAACUUUCAUGCUUCCACAUCCUUUUCACAUAUUUUCUACUUCUUAGAAUGUGACUUCCUUUUUCUGUCUGUAAAACUCCUACACAUAUAUUAACAUAACACAGGCACCCCCUCGUUUGCAGAAUAAACCUGCCCUCCUCCAGUUAUUCUGGUUUUACUUUUGAAUCACUGUGGUGCAGCAACUGUUUGAUCAUGUAAACAGAGCCCAGAUCAUGUAAUCUGUACCAUUCUCUGUGCCCCCAACUCUAUAGAGUGCUGAGCCUCUGUGUGCACAUAUGUGUCCGUGCAUGUGCCUAUGUGGACCUUUGCAAACACAUACACACAGGAAGGAGAAAUCUAAGAAAGUUAUAUUCCAGAUAUUUUGGUGCAUAUCUACCACUAGAUUGAUAAUGGGUAAUGUUAAAAAAUAUUGUAAAAUAUAUAGACAAAUUUUCCAUCACAACCAUUUGUAAAUGAACACUUCAGUAGGUUUAACUGUAUUCACAUUUUGCAACACAUUCCCAGUUUUCAUCUCUCAGGACUGAAACUCUAGAUCCAUCAAACUCGAACUCCUCAUGAUUCUUCCUUCAGGCCCCUGGCAAACAGCAUUCAACAUCUCUAUGACCAAAGCUAUACAAAGUACCUCUUAUAAGAGAAACCAUAUAGUAUUCCCCUUUUCAUGACUGGCUUAUUCUCCAAGGUUCAUAUACAUUGCCACAUAUAUCAGAACUUUCUUGUCUAUAGACACUACAACUUGUUUUUUAUUCUCCCAUCACUAGGCAUGAGGGCUGACUGUACCUUUAGCUACUGUGAAAGGUGCCUCUGUGCAUGUGAGGAUGCAGGGAUCAGCUAGAGUCCCUGUCUUCAGUUCUUUACAAAUAGGCCUGGAGGUAGAGUUGCUAGAGCAUGUGGCAGUUCCCUUUUGAAUUCUUGAGAAAUUCCAACAGUGACAUCACUGUACAGCUCUUCUCCAAGUACAAGUGUAUUCCAAUUUAUCCACAUGCUUGCCAGUAAUUCUUCCCUUCCCUUCUCUUCCCUUCCCUUCCCUUCUCUUCCCUUCCCUUCUCUUCCC
This is a long non-coding RNA of Mus musculus (house mouse), 13619 nucleotides long. RefSeq annotates it as predicted gene, 52528. Lineage: Eukaryota; Metazoa; Chordata; Mammalia; Rodentia; Muridae. The transcript has 3 exons. The record is from RefSeq and is a predicted model, not a curated record.